UACGAAGGGGGCUAGCAUUGUUCGGAAUUACUGGGCGUAAAGCGCACGUAGGCGGAAUGUUAAGUCAGGGGUGAAAUCCCGGGGCUCAACUCCGGAACUGCCUUUGAUACUGGCAUUCUCGAGUCCGGAAGAGGUGAGUGGAAUUCCGAGUGUAGAGGUGAAAUUCGUAGAUAUUCGGAGGAACACCAGUGGCGAAGGCGGCUCACUGGUCCGGUACUGACGCUGAGGUGCGAAAGCGUGGGGAGCAAACAGG
Molecule: ribosomal RNA, 253 nt
Filed under: uncultured bacterium
Lineage: Bacteria
Description: partial 16S ribosomal RNA
Rfam family: Bacterial small subunit ribosomal RNA
Source: RNAcentral